This 253-nucleotide ribosomal RNA is filed under the name uncultured bacterium. RNAcentral describes it as "partial 16S ribosomal RNA". It matches the Rfam family "Bacterial small subunit ribosomal RNA", at positions 524 to 776 of the family's 1533-position model. The record is from RNAcentral.
UACAGAGGGCUCAAGCGUUGUUCGGAUUCAUUGGGCGUAAAGGGUGCGUAGGCGGCGCGGUAAGUCGGGUGUGAAAUCUUGGAGCUUAACUCCGAAACUGCAUUCGAUACUGCCGUGCUUGAGGACUGGAGAGGAGACUGGAAUUUACGGUGUAGCGGUGAAAUGCGUAGAUAUCGUAAGGAAGACCAGUGGCGAAGGCGGAUCUCUGGACAGCUCCUGACGCUGAGGCGCGAAGGCUAGGGGAGCAAACGGG